Molecule: long non-coding RNA, 1203 nt
Organism: Gasterosteus aculeatus aculeatus (three-spined stickleback)
Lineage: Eukaryota; Metazoa; Chordata; Actinopteri; Perciformes; Gasterosteidae
Source: Ensembl
AACAAAACACAGCGUGGAGGAGACGACUGCGAGCGAGACAUUUACAAACCAACUUAUGGAUCCAGCGCGUGGAAACAUUUUGGCUUUUGCAAACACGUCGGUCGCUGUUUGUAGAAUAUGUAGAAGCCAAAUAAAAAACCACGGAAACACGACGAAUCUUUCCGGCCAUCUACUAAGGCGCCGUGGGAUGAAACAACGCCGACAGUCAGGACCUCUAGCAGCGUCACCGCUGCAGCAGCAGCAGGUUGAGGUCACCCUCCACACAAAAGAAUAAAAACUACAAGUCCCAGACAGAAAGGCUGUCAGGGAAGCCACGCAGCAGCGGCCCCAGACAGAAGGCCGGCCAUGACAAUGAAGCUGGAGCCCUGCAGGAACCGCUCCCUCUGCUGGCCAGGCACAGAGGGAACCCCAAAACCCUGCAAGACAACCUGACUCCAUCCUGUGUGGUACAAUUACAUCGCCCGAAACAUUACAGUUGGUUUCGGUGUCGCUGAAGUCAUCAGGGUCACCUCCCUCCAUAGUUGUUGGCUGGGCGCUUCCAGCUGAAAAAUGGAGCCUUUCUGGACUGGAGGCGUAUAUGAACAGAGAUAGCUUGACACCGCCAUUUGUUCGCCUCAGGAAAUGGCAGCCAAAUUCCUGGGAAAUGAAUGAAGAGGAAAUCUGCGAGUGGCAGCCUACCACGAGAUCGCUCUGAAAGGAGAGGGUGGAAAAGACAUGGCCCCUUUCUGCAACAUGGACCCGGGCCAGGGCUCACUAGAGCACCGAGAUGAAGAGUUACAGCACCUCUCAAACCCAACCGGCUGGAGUGAUAAAUACCCGGCUCUAAUGCACAUGCUUAAGAGUUUUUGACUGUAAAUAAAGUCAUGGGAGACAUGUUGUACUUACAUGGAGAAAAGCCUUGAGGAAAUGGCUUCCCCCCUUGAAAGCGACGAAUGGGUGUGUAUGUCUGCAGCCAAUCAGGAUGUAACUUCAUGAAGCCUGUUUUUUUAUCCCCGGUGGCCUCGUUGCUUUUUUUUUUUCCUCUUGCGUGUGAUAACGUCACUUAAUAUUUCUUAAUAUAUGAUCCAACCAUAUUUGACUCAUAUUAAUUAAAUCCUUUCUCAGAUGUUCAAUUUUUAAAAUAAAUGAACAAAGUCGUCUUUCUUUACUAUAAAAGAGGCAAAGGAAACUGUCAUGUGAGUAUUGUCAGAUGAUUGGGAGGAC